UUAAGCGACUAAGCGUACACGGUGGAUGCCCUGGCAGUCAGAGGCGAUGAAGGACGUGCUAAUCUGCGAUAAGCGUCGGUGAGGUGAUAUGAACCGUUAUAACCGGCGAUUUCCGAAUGGGGAAACCCAGUGUGUUUCGACACACUAUCAUUAACUGAAUCCAUAGGUUAAUGAGGCGAACCGGGGGAACUGAAACAUCUAAGUACCCCGAGGAAAAGAAAUCAACCGAGAUUCCCCCAGUAGCGGCGAGCGAACGGGGAGGAGCCCAGAGCCUGAAUCAGUGUGUGUGUUAGUGGAAGCGUCUGGAAAGGCGCGCGAUACAGGGUGACAGCCCCGUACACAAAAAUGCACAUGCUGUGAGCUCGAUGAGUAGGGCGGGACACGUGGUAUCCUGUCUGAAUAUGGGGGGACCAUCCUCCAAGGCUAAAUACUCCUGACUGACCGAUAGUGAACCAGUACCGUGAGGGAAAGGCGAAAAGAACCCCGGCGAGGGGAGUGAAAAAGAACCUGAAACCGUGUACGUACAAGCAGUGGGAGCCUCUUUAUGGGGUGACUGCGUACCUUUUGUAUAAUGGGUCAGCGACUUAUAUUCUGUAGCAAGGUUAACCGAAUAGGGGAGCCGAAGGGAAACCGAGUCUUAACUGGGCGUUAAGUUGCAGGGUAUAGACCCGAAACCCGGUGAUCUAGCCAUGGGCAGGUUGAAGGUUGGGUAACACUAACUGGAGGACCGAACCGACUAAUGUUGAAAAAUUAGCGGAUGACUUGUGGCUGGGGGUGAAAGGCCAAUCAAACCGGGAGAUAGCUGGUUCUCCCCGAAAGCUAUUUAGGUAGCGCCUCGUGAAUUCAUCUCCGGGGGUAGAGCACUGUUUCGGCAAGGGGGUCAUCCCGACUUACCAACCCGAUGCAAACUGCGAAUACCGGAGAAUGUUAUCACGGGAGACACACGGCGGGUGCUAACGUCCGUCGUGAAGAGGGAAACAACCCAGACCGCCAGCUAAGGUCCCAAAGUCAUGGUUAAGUGGGAAACGAUGUGGGAAGGCCCAGACAGCCAGGAUGUUGGCUUAGAAGCAGCCAUCAUUUAAAGAAAGCGUAAUAGCUCACUGGUCGAGUCGGCCUGCGCGGAAGAUGUAACGGGGCUAAACCAUGCACCGAAGCUGCGGCAGCGACACUAUGUGUUGUUGGGUAGGGGAGCGUUCUGUAAGCCUGUGAAGGUGGCCUGUGAGGGUUGCUGGAGGUAUCAGAAGUGCGAAUGCUGACAUAAGUAACGAUAAAGCGGGUGAAAAGCCCGCUCGCCGGAAGACCAAGGGUUCCUGUCCAACGUUAAUCGGGGCAGGGUGAGUCGACCCCUAAGGCGAGGCCGAAAGGCGUAGUCGAUGGGAAACAGGUUAAUAUUCCUGUACUUGGUGUUACUGCGAAGGGGGGACGGAGAAGGCUAUGUUGGCCGGGCGACGGUUGUCCCGGUUUAAGCGUGUAGGCUGGUUUUCCAGGCAAAUCCGGAAAACCAAGGCUGAGGCGUGAUGACGAGGCACUACGGUGCUGAAGCGACAAAUGCCCUGCUUCCAGGAAAAGCCUCUAAGCAUCAGGUAACAUCAAAUCGUACCCCAAACCGACACAGGUGGUCAGGUAGAGAAUACCAAGGCGCUUGAGAGAACUCGGGUGAAGGAACUAGGCAAAAUGGUGCCGUAACUUCGGGAGAAGGCACGCUGAUAUGUAGGUGAAGCGACUUGCUCGUGGAGCUGAAAUCAGUCGAAGAUACCAGCUGGCUGCAACUGUUUAUUAAAAACACAGCACUGUGCAAACACGAAAGUGGACGUAUACGGUGUGACGCCUGCCCGGUGCCGGAAGGUUAAUUGAUGGGGUUAGCGGUAACGCGAAGCUCUUGAUCGAAGCCCCGGUAAACGGCGGCCGUAACUAUAACGGUCCUAAGGUAGCGAAAUUCCUUGUCGGGUAAGUUCCGACCUGCACGAAUGGCGUAAUGAUGGCCAGGCUGUCUCCACCCGAGACUCAGUGAAAUUGAACUCGCUGUGAAGAUGCAGUGUACCCGCGGCAAGACGGAAAGACCCCGUGAACCUUUACUAUAGCUUGACACUGAACAUUGAGCCUUGAUGUGUAGGAUAGGUGGGAGGCUUUGAAGUGUGGACGCCAGUCUGCAUGGAGCCGACCUUGAAAUACCACCCUUUAAUGUUUGAUGUUCUAACGUUGGCCCGUAAUCCGGGUUGCGGACAGUGUCUGGUGGGUAGUUUGACUGGGGCGGUCUCCUCCUAAAGAGUAACGGAGGAGCACGAAGGUUGGCUAAUCCUGGUCGGACAUCAGGAGGUUAGUGCAAUGGCAUAAGCCAGCUUGACUGCGAGCGUGACGGCGCGAGCAGGUGCGAAAGCAGGUCAUAGUGAUCCGGUGGUUCUGAAUGGAAGGGCCAUCGCUCAACGGAUAAAAGGUACUCCGGGGAUAACAGGCUGAUACCGCCCAAGAGUUCAUAUCGACGGCGGUGUUUGGCACCUCGAUGUCGGCUCAUCACAUCCUGGGGCUGAAGUAGGUCCCAAGGGUAUGGCUGUUCGCCAUUUAAAGUGGUACGCGAGCUGGGUUUAGAACGUCGUGAGACAGUUCGGUCCCUAUCUGCCGUGGGCGCUGGAGAACUGAGGGGGGCUGCUCCUAGUACGAGAGGACCGGAGUGGACGCAUCACUGGUGUUCGGGUUGUCAUGCCAAUGGCACUGCCCGGUAGCUAAAUGCGGAAGAGAUAAGUGCUGAAAGCAUCUAAGCACGAAACUUGCCCCGAGAUGAGUUCUCCCUGAGACUUAGAGUCUCCUGAAGGAACGUUGAAGACGACGACGUUGAUAGGCCGGGUGUGUAAGCGCAGCGAUGCGUUGAGCUAACCGGUACUAAUGAACCGUGAGGCUUAACCUU
Molecule: ribosomal RNA, 2902 nt
Filed under: Escherichia coli HVH 127 (4-7303629)
Lineage: Bacteria; Pseudomonadati; Pseudomonadota; Gammaproteobacteria; Enterobacterales; Enterobacteriaceae
Description: bacterial LSU rRNA
Rfam family: Bacterial large subunit ribosomal RNA
Source: RNAcentral